AGUACAUUCGAAUGAGAUACAACGCUUUUAUUUCGCUGACGGCAUGUGCAAUCUACAUCAUUUUAACGCAAAGCGUCGGCGCUGCCCUCAUCUUCUCAGCUGCACUGACAUCAUCGACGAUAUUUGGGAUACCUGUCACAACAGCCAGCAUCCUCUUCGGCCUAAUGGGCACCUACUAUGGCG
Rhipicephalus sanguineus (brown dog tick) is the source of this 183-nucleotide long non-coding RNA. RefSeq lists it as uncharacterized. The transcript is spliced from 3 exons. The record is from RefSeq and is a predicted model, not a curated record. Lineage: Eukaryota; Metazoa; Arthropoda; Arachnida; Ixodida; Ixodidae.